RNAcentral lists this transfer RNA (70 nucleotides) under Dipodomys ordii (Ord's kangaroo rat). It matches the Rfam family "tRNA". Rfam says of the family: Transfer RNA (tRNA) molecules are approximately 80 nucleotides in length. Lineage: Eukaryota; Metazoa; Chordata; Mammalia; Rodentia; Heteromyidae. The record is from Rfam by way of RNAcentral.
GGGAAGGUAGCUCAGUGGUAGAGUGCUUGCCUUGCAUGCAUGAGGCCCUAGGUUCGAUUCCUCAGUACCA